AAAAAGCCUGGAACCCCCCCUCGGGCGAUCGACGAACGACCUGACCCCGAGUGGCACCCAUAUGCAUUGUAUGCGCCGCGCCCUGGGCGCGCUACAACGGUGACCCAGCACGCCUAAUGCCCUGAUUCCCGCCCGCUGUUCGUAGUCGAGCUCACCUACGGGUGAUAGAGGAAUUGCAGGCACAGGGCGGCAGCAAGAAAGUGUCACGAGCAGGGAAAAUGGCGACAGCGAUGUUAAGGGCGGCGUGCAGCAAGCAAGCUAGAACACGCAUCCCAGUCCCGGCCCACUAAUGAUUGCGGGAAAAGAGAGCGAGGCUGUGGUCGUCGAGAAACUUAUAAGGAGUCAUCGGCUGCAUGGGGUCAAGUCGGCGGGCGUCGGUUGUGGAGCACUAGAAGGCAGCGAACCCCCCGAACUGCUGGACAUGCUCUAGUGUGUUCGUGCGUGUGGCGCCGCGGGCUGGCGGGAGCUGGCCUCCCGCUCCCCACUCCACGACGUCACCGAGGCUAGGCAUGCUCGCGGCCGCAGUGGCCGCGUCGGCUGUCCGAAACAAGCCCCCCGGGGGGCAUCCAUAUACUCCCCUGAAAGGAAAAGCGCGCCGGUGUGUCCACCAGUCCACGGGCCGGGCGAGGGGGCGGGCGCAUGGUAGUGCUGCGCCGUACGCCGCCGCGACAGCACGCUCGUGACAAAGCCCGCCGAUGAUGAGAGUCAUCGUGUAGUCCCAGAAGCUCGCAGCAGUCGACGCCGCGCGCGCGCCAUCGAUGGCAUGUCAUGAUUGCAUCGCGGCUCCGGACAAGGUCCUGGCCCUGUGACGCGGGCUGAAUAAAUAGGAUACGAGCGUGAUGCUGGCACCGAGGUCCGCGGGAGCGGGUCGGCGAAGUGGUCGACUUGUUCUUGAGCUCGUUGUCGCCCAGUCCGCCAGGUCGCCCAAACUACCCCAGCUCCGCGCACCCGGCCCGUUGGAAAGGUACAGUACAGUUAAGCAAAAGCAAAUACCGGGGGCUUAAAAGCCCUCAGCCCAAAGGCCCGCCCAUAGGUCCCGAAUUGGAAAAACAAACGAGCCCCAGCCAGAAGCGCCAAGACCCGGCCUGAAACCCGGAGCAGCCCUGGCGGCCCCUGACAGUCCCAAGACGACACAGGUAAUGCCCAUGUGUUGAAAAGAAAACAACAAAACGAAGCCCGCCCAGACGGCGCGACGGAGUUACUUACGGAUACCUACCGAUACCGAGCGUCUUGUAGCCGCGUCGACCCCGGUAGUCAUACUUACCCGCAAAAAGCCUGGAACCCCCCCUCGGGCGAUCGACGAACGACCUGACCCCGAGUGGCACCCAUAUGCAUUGUAUGCGCCGCGCCCUGGGCGCGCUACAACGGUGACCCAGCACGCCUAAUGCCCUGAUUCCCGCCCGCUGUUCGUAGUCGAGCUCACCUACGGGUGAUAGAGGAAUUGCAGGCACAGGGCGGCAGCAAGAAAGUGUCACGAGCAGGGAAAAUGGCGACAGCGAUGUUAAGGGCGGCGUGCAGCAAGCAAGCUAGAACACGCAUCCCAGUCCCGGCCCACUAAUGAUUGCGGGAAAAGAGAGCGAGGCUGUGGUCGUCGAGAAACUUAUAAGGAGUCAUCGGCUGCAUGGGGUCAAGUCGGCGGGCGUCGGUUGUGGAGCACUAGAAGGCAGCGAACCCCCCGAACUGCUGGACAUGCUCUAGAUGUCUGCGUGUGUGUGUGUGUGUGUGUGUGUGUGUGUGUGUGUGUGUGUGUGUGUGUGUGUGUGUGUGUGUGUGUGUGUGUGUGUGUGUGUGUGUGUGUGUGUGUUGCUG
Molecule: long non-coding RNA, 1809 nt
Filed under: Chlamydomonas reinhardtii
Lineage: Eukaryota; Viridiplantae; Chlorophyta; Chlorophyceae; Chlamydomonadales; Chlamydomonadaceae
Description: long non-coding RNA (CREI_LNC000499)
Source: RNAcentral